GAUGAACGCUGGCGGCGUGCCUAAUACAUGCAAGUCGAGCGAACGGACGAGGAGCUUGCUUCUCUGAUGUUAGCGGCGGACGGGUGAGUAACACGUGGAUAACCUACCUAUAAGACUGGGAUAACUUCGGGAAACCGUAGCUAAUACCGGAUAAUAUUUUGAACCGCAUGGUUCAAAAGUGAAAGACGGUCUUGCUGUCACUUAUAGAUGGAUCCGCGCUGCAUUAGCUAGUUGGUAAGGUAACGGCUUACCAAGGCAACGAUGCAUAGCCGACCUGAGAGGGUGAUCGGCCACACUGGAACUGAGACACGGUCCAGACUCCUACGGGAGGCAGCAGUAGGGAAUCUUCCGCAAUGGGCGAAAGCCUGACGGAGCAACGCCGCGUGAGUGAUGAAGGUCUUCGGAUCGUAAAACUCUGUUAUUAGGGAAGAACAUAUGUGUAAGUAACUGUGCACAUCUUGACGGUACCUAAUCAGAAAGCCACGGCUAACUACGUG
RNAcentral lists this ribosomal RNA (497 nucleotides) under uncultured bacterium. RNAcentral's name for it is "partial 16S ribosomal RNA". It matches the Rfam family "Bacterial small subunit ribosomal RNA", at positions 28 to 507 of the family's 1533-position model. The record is from RNAcentral.